This 1085-nucleotide long non-coding RNA is filed under the name Anser cygnoides (Swan goose). Its description in RNAcentral is "lncRNA (ENSACDG00005002087.1)". Lineage: Eukaryota; Metazoa; Chordata; Aves; Anseriformes; Anatidae. The record is from RNAcentral.
UAGUCCAUGUGCUCUAAAGCAUAGCAAAUUACUGUUUAGAAAAAGCACUCUGCAGUCCCCUGCGCAAGCCAAAGCGAACUCCUUGGCACGAUGCCAUUCCCACUGACAAUAAAAAGUAGUCUCGUGGAGGAGGUUCUCAAGAGGGCUCCAGAGCUGGUGUGCGCAGCGGCAGCGCAGGUGCAAGCAGAGACCAGCUCAACCAACACGAUCAACCUGCAGCAUUCGGCAAGACAAAAACCUCCCGCUAUUUAAAUGCUGCACUAAGCACAUGCUGAGCAGCGCUCCCCUUCCCGCUAUGAGCAACGAUUUCAGUCCUUCAAAGAUUCCCGAACGCACCAAAACCCACCUUUAGCAUGCGGAGCAGGCGAGGCAGUGCGUAGGAGUGCACAGACCUUUCUCCUCUAGCAAAGCGUUUGCUGGGGCCUCAUUAAAUGCCUUCCCCACUUUGCUUUUGUCUCUUCUCAGUUUUCUUCUGCGUCAAACCUUCCUCCUCACAACCUUUUCCCAGUUUAAUCCCUUCACCAUUUGAGGGGGCUGAAGUUACCGAGCAGUUUGAUUUUACUAUACCAGCACAGCUCCUUGUAAGCCUCAGGAGUGGACAUCAUGGGAGUGACUGGAGAUUACUUCUGAUGUGGCUUCUAGUUUUAUUUCCUAUGUGCCAUUAUUCCUUUUUAUUUCUUCUUCUUUUUCCCCACAUUGCCCCAGAAUAUGUGGAAAAAUCAGUUUUGUUUUUUUAUGUCUCUCUCCGUUCACGUCUCCUCCCUUUAGUUUUAGGGUAUUGCCCGUGCCCUACACACCCUCACGGAGUGAUGCAAUGGAGAAUCAGGAGGAGGCUGAGAGCAGAGCUGGAGUCCUGGCUGCAGACAAGAAAUAGGGUACCUACAGAUGGGCUCUGGGGACCCCUACCUGUUCAUGUUGACUGGAACCCAGAAGGGGAUCUGAAAAUAACACCUCAGAAACAUUUCUAUGGAGAGCAUGUAAACAAGGAGGAGGAAAAUAAUACAUCACAGUAUUACUGUCACCAGAUAUUGGAAUUGCUGCUGUGUGCUGUGGCAUCCUGUCCCAUCGUACCGUGGAGUAGAUGA